CAUAGAGGUCUCACGAUUGGAUAGUUUGAUGAUUUUAGAAUGUUUUAGAGUCCUUGUACUACAAUUAGAACAGAGUUCUAAUGCUAGUGCUUUUGUUAAAUUAGGACUUUUUCCUUUAUCACAAGAUGAUUGAUUAACAUGGUAUGUAGAACAGACUUCUUUGUACUUUGUAUGCAAUGAUGUUUUUUUUUUCUUUUUUCUUUUGCCAUGUGUGCAAUUAGUUAUUAGCCAUAUAGAGCAAUCUUUCUGGUUUUCCUCUGCUUGCCAAUAAAUGUUUUAAGGAAAGUUACUUGCUUUGCAGCAUUCUCAAUUUCUUGUUCUUAAAAAUGCAUGCACUGUCUUAUCCGCUCUCUCCAAUAUCCUAUCUGCAUUUUUGUAUAUAUUAAUCUGUUUGAAAAAGUUUUUCCUAAUGUAGGAAUAUUUGGGAAUCGAUUUUGAAUUUAAAGGUCUUGUUUUUUGUUCGGAUUUUACGUGUCCAUGCUGAAACGCAAUUCUUGUUGCAGGUGUAUUUGGGUGGACGAUACAUAAACAAUCCUACAUUGUCAGAUGUUACGUAUCUGGUUGAAGGUAAACGGUUCUAUGCCCACAGAAUUGCUUUGCUUGCUUCUUCAGACGCAUUCCGUGCAAUGUUUGACUGUGGUUAUCAGGUGAGUCUAGCCAUAUUUUCACAUUCAACACAUGGUACAUCAGUACAUUGUCAUACAUCUUCACACAAGGUGAUUUGCAGGCUUUUUAGUCAAUAGCAUCUCCACCUACAAAGCCAUGGCAUGCUUGUCCGAUACACUGCCAUCCCAAAAAAGCUAUAAACUUCUUAAUGUGUUUUAGGCAUGGAUGAAUGGGAGCUAGAUCGAUGGAUUUUAUUUAUUAUUAUUAUUUUUUUGAAACUAUUCAAUUUAUUAUUGUAAAUAUUAUUCACGGCAGCUCUAGUAUAGUAGAGAAGGGAAAUGGCUACAACAUCAAACAAAGAAGCCUCCAUCUACUUUCUUAUAAGUUGCUUUGUAAGCCAUAGCCCAUCCUACCAAUGCAACAGCCAAUUUUUUUGGCUUGCACAUUCGUGCGCCAUAUCAGCACAUAAGGUGGCAUGCCUAAUGCUAACCUUUUACUUAGUGGCAUCAAAUGAAUGGCUAAGAUGAAAACUGUCAAGGAGAUUAUUGGGGCACAAUCCAUCCACGGUUGGAUGCAACAGACAAAUGGUCUGGAUUACCAAACAAAGGGCCCCACUUUGGGAAAUCCAGAAGGCCUGUAAUGUCCCUGGAUGAAGGUCGUGUACCAUAUGGUUCCAAUAAAUGCACAUGAAGCUUGGAGGAGUGUUGGGUUGCA
Magnolia sinica is the source of this 1320-nucleotide long non-coding RNA. RefSeq lists it as uncharacterized. Lineage: Eukaryota; Viridiplantae; Streptophyta; Magnoliopsida; Magnoliales; Magnoliaceae. The transcript is spliced from 4 exons. The record is from RefSeq and is a predicted model, not a curated record.